AGUAGCCCAAGGGCGGUGAUAAUUGGUACCCAGUGAGUUCCCAGAUGAUGCUGGUGCCCUCACAGCUGCCAUUCCAGGCCCCAAGCUUGGAGUGGCGGGGAACUCCCUCCAGGGUAAGGCUUCAUUCCUGGGAGUCCCUCCUGGCAAGGGGCUUGGCUGGGUGGUUAAAAAUAACUGCCUCUCCCACAUCUCCAUCACUUGCCCCAAGCAUCACCCUGUGAAGCUGCCAAGGAGCGUUCCAUUAGACAAGGGAGGAAACUGAGGCUUGCAGAAGUUCGAUGACUCACCUCAGAUACCCAUCUAUGAGAUGGCAGCAUUGGGCUCCUGGCCACACUGUCCUGAUGCUUCCCCCAGUGAGGUGGUCUGCUGGAGGCGUCCCAGGGCGGCAGUGAAUACACAGCAGCAGAUCAGAUCGGCUUUCAGGGCCCUGACACCCCCUGAAUACCUACUGCUUUGCCCUUUUGACUGACACCAGGCUCAGUUGUACAGGCCAAGGGUAUCAAUCUAGACUUCCUGGUUCCAUUUUCAUUGUAUUUUUAGCAUUGCCUUCUGUGUAUGACAAAUUCUACUGCUUUGGGUGUUAUAUAGUGACAUAAAUGAUCUUAUUAAAAAAUUGGAAUUUAAAAAGUA
Molecule: small RNA, 630 nt
Filed under: Pongo abelii (Sumatran orangutan)
Lineage: Eukaryota; Metazoa; Chordata; Mammalia; Primates; Hominidae
Description: sense intronic
Source: RNAcentral